GGGAUAAUAGUUAAUUUUAACAUUUAAGUUGCAUUUAAAAAAUAUUGAACUUCAAUUUAUCUUA
This 64-nucleotide transfer RNA is filed under the name Acrocrypta assamensis. RNAcentral describes it as "tRNA-Ala". Lineage: Eukaryota; Metazoa; Arthropoda; Insecta; Coleoptera; Chrysomelidae. The record is from RNAcentral.